Molecule: ribosomal RNA, 497 nt
Filed under: uncultured bacterium
Lineage: Bacteria
Description: partial 16S ribosomal RNA
Rfam family: Bacterial small subunit ribosomal RNA
Source: RNAcentral
GACGAACGCUGGCGGCGUGCCUAAUACAUGCAAGUUGAGCGAUGAAGAUUGGUGCUUGCACCAAUUUGAAGAGCAGCGAACGGGUGAGUAACGCGUGGGGAAUCUGCCUUUGAGCGGGGGACAACAUUUGGAAACGAAUGCUAUUACCGCAUAACAACUUUAAACAUAAGUUUUAAGUUUGAAAGAUGCAAUUGCAUCACUCAAAGAUGAUCCCGCGUUGUAUUAGCUAGUUGGUGAGGUAAAGGCUCACCAAGGCGAUGAUACAUAGCCGACCUGAGAGGGUGAUCGGCCACAUUGGGACUGAGACACGGCCCAAACUCCUACGGGAGGCAGCAGUAGGGAAGCUUCGGCAAUGGACGAAAGUCUGACCGAGCAACGCCGCGUGAGUGAAGAAGGUUGUCGGAUCGUAAAACUCUGUUGGUAGAGAAGAACGUUGGUGGGAGUGGAAAGCUCAUCAAGUGACGGUAACUACACAGAAAGGGACGGCUAACUACGUG